UCCUCCCUCCGCCCUUCCUCCCCAGUGUUUGUUUCAAGCUUGUGCAACCGGGAGGUGGAGGCGGAGGGAGGGCGCGAGCGGCCCGGCCGGGAGGUGCGGAAGUUCGCCGCAGCAGCUCAUUGGCGGGCAGCGCCGCUUUCAUCAUUUCUCGGAAAAGUCAAUUUCAUUUUCGCUUCCCCAGGUCGCGGCGGCGGGAGCAACAAGCAGCGGCUCGUGAGUCCGCGGCUCGCACCCAGGGGCGCCCGCACGUGCGGCUAGAACGUCCGAGUCGGGGUCCGGGGCGGGGGGCGCAGGCCCGCGGCGGUAGGGGAGGAGAGCGGGCACCCGAGUCUCCAUCCUCAGGGUGGCCUGAAGGUUCCAGGAGGGCGUCCGGCGAAGGCACGGGGCUGCGACCAUCCAGUUAGCAGGGCUGGUGUGACUGUUGAGAGUAAAUGAAAAUUCGUUUUGUGACACCGACCACCUCCAAGGAAUGAAAGGAGCAGUCAGCCGAAACGACAGCAUUACUUGCGUCCUUACCUAAUUGGAACCUUAUCCGUGGCUGAGGGUGCCACCAUUGGAGGGGCCGCCGCCCCCUCUGACACCACCUGGCGCUCCGCUCCAUUUAGGAGCUAGAACGAAAAGGAGGCCCAUCCCCCAGUAAGUCACAGCCCACGCCAAGAUGAGUUCUGGAGCCUGUGCGACCGAAGUUUCUUCACCGCAGGGCGAGGUGGACAAGGGUGUGAGUUACUUUGACUUCAAGACGUCUCAGUGGCGGCUGGUUCUGGAGAGAGGCUUUAUGCUGGAGCACUUCCAGCAAAGUUCGGCUGGGGCCUCCUUAACUCACUGGCUGGUCACCCUUGGCCUCGGUUUUCAACCAAAGCCUAAGGCCUCAGUUUUCAACGCUGUAAAUGGAAAUAAAUGAGAGAAGAAAGUACAGCCCGUGUGACAAGUGCAGCAAGCAAUGCAACUUCCUUGGGACCUACCCUUUGUGGUCCCUUGCUUUAAAAGUAUAGAUUCACAUUUAGUUAGACCUGUUUCUUCCUCGCAUGCAAUUUCACCAGUCUUUUCCCAGACUUCUGUACUCAACAGAGGAAGUUCCUUCCUGGGAGACCAUAGCUGUUUGUAUGUAAAGAGUUGCGAAAAAACAAAAGCAAAACAAAAAACUCCAACACCUCUCUGUCACAGAAGUAUUGAAUUAUAUAGACUGGAAAAAUGGAAGUAUCCAAGAAAACGCGUGUGAGACAGAGUUUCACCAUGUUGCCCAGGCUGGUCUCAAACUCCUGAGCUCAAACCAUCACCCACCUCGGCUUCCCAAAGUGCUGGGAUUACAGGCGUGAGCCACCACAUCUGACCGCGGGAGUCCUUUUACCCAAAGCCACCCAACAGACCCACGCAGAGACUUUUAACCAGCAAUCGUCUCAGUUCCCUCUGAGGCUGCCGGCUCUCCCUGUGACAGCAGCCCAUCUUAGCCCUUCCUGUGUAUCUCUGCUGCCUAAAGGAUGAGAGUUUCCUAAAGUGUAGAACUGUGAGGGGUGGAGGGACAUUCCUCUCAUGCUGGCCUGAAUCCUGCACCUACUCUGGAGGUCUUUUGCCUUGUACCAUGGAGUUCGCCUACAUCACCUUGGAGAACCGACCCAGCACCUUCCAGGCCGGCUGGAUGCAUCCCCAGGAAGGAAGCCGCUGGUGGGGCCGGUCGCACUGAGUGCGCUUGGAGAACAAAGUGCUGUGUACAUUUCUGCUCAACACUACUCUAAGCCCACAGCGCCAGUUCAGAGGCUUUGGGAAGAGCAGGUGCCUUCAUCCAGUUUCCACUGUACCUCUUCUGAGGUACAGGAGAUAGAGGUCCCUCAUUUCAAGGUGACACUGGCAUCAGUCAAGCACAGAGCUAACCAACUGCCAAUCGUAAACAAGGAAGCCAGUGAGGACGCCCAAGGAAAGGCUCAGAAAGCUUCCGCCAGGGAGUGGGAUUUGAGCUCUACCUUACAGAACAGGUUGAAAAUAAAGAGCAGAGUAAUCAAAAGUAGAUUUAUGUGUGUAUAUGUAUCUGUUGCUAAUAUCCAGCCUUAAAAAUCCUUGACAGUGGCCUUCAGACUUAAACAUCUUC
RNAcentral lists this long non-coding RNA (2083 nucleotides) under Homo sapiens (human). RNAcentral's name for it is "HSALNT0324064". Lineage: Eukaryota; Metazoa; Chordata; Mammalia; Primates; Hominidae. The record is from RNAcentral.